UGGUGGUCAUGGCACAGUGGCACCACCCGUUCCCAUUCCGAACACGGAAGUGAAACGCUGUUGCGCCGAUGAUAGUAUGACGACAGGUCAUGCGAAAGUAGGACACCGCCA
This 111-nucleotide ribosomal RNA is filed under the name Prosthecobacter gellanilyticus. Lineage: Bacteria; Pseudomonadati; Verrucomicrobiota; Verrucomicrobiia; Verrucomicrobiales; Verrucomicrobiaceae. The record is from RNAcentral.